AAUGUCUAAUGCUGGAGAUCUGAACUCUCACUCAGAACAAUCAUGCUGCUCUUUUUCUCUGUUUUUGGGAUUGUUGCCAGGUUUGGUGAAAGUGUGGACUCUAUCAGACCAAAUGAAACCAGCGUGUUUGUGAGUGAGGGAAGCAGAACCACACUGUCCUGCACAUAUGAUGGAUCCCCUUACAGUCUCCACUGGUAUCAGCAAAAGCCUGGAUCAAGACCAGAGUUUCUGCUGCUGAUUCAUGUGUCCACUAGACGUGUGACUGAAGCUAAAAUAGCUGACCCCAGACAAUCUAUAAUACUUCCUAAAGAUAAAAAUGAAGUGGAUCUGAUCAUCUCCUCUGCUGCAGUAUCAGACUCUGCACUCUAC
Pygocentrus nattereri (red-bellied piranha) is the source of this 369-nucleotide non-coding RNA. The record is from the annotation of a RefSeq genome assembly. NCBI's taxonomy places the organism in Eukaryota, Metazoa, Chordata, Actinopteri, Characiformes, Serrasalmidae.